CCCUGAGGGACGCAGCGCAGGUUUAGGUCACCAGCUCAGCAGCCCUCCAAGCUCCCGGUUGAGCACUGAGGCUCCAGAAUGCGGCGGCCGCCCCUCCAUCCUGAGAGGCAGAGCCUAGGAGACUCGGCCUUCCUGGGAAGCCGCGCCCCACCUCACGAAGGCCCAGGGAUGCGCUCGGCAGGGGCCGCACCCGGAUCCUGUUCCUCCACCUGCGACUCGGCUCUGCCCCCGGCCCCUCCUGGCUCGGCCCAUGCUGCCAUCUCGGGGGCCUCCGAGGCGAGCUGCCUGGCUUUGGCUCCUGGGCCCCGGCCCUCCCACCCCUGCCCUCCCCGUGGGCCCGCCUCUCGGGGCCCUUCCUGCCUCUUCUCCCGGCACAGCAGCAGCUGCCGAGCAUCUCAGAGCCCGACACCCUGCUCCCGGGGCCAGGGUGCUCCCCGGGGCCCCAGCAGGCUCCAGGGCUCCCCCUGACGGCCAGGCUGGGACAAGGCGAGGGGGAGAGGCUUCCGGGGCCACCGCUCAGGCCCGGGGAGCUGGAGGUAAAGCCUGACCCCCCUGGCGGGGGCUAAGGGCUGUCUGAACCCCAGGGAGGGCUUCUCCCCAGAGACCUACAGACCGGAGCUCCGGGAAGAGAGCCCCGCGCCCCCCAGCCUGGAGCCCCUCAAAGCGGCGUGGCCCUCGCAUCCUCCCUAACUGGCGCAGAAGAUGGAGGGGUCUCCAAACUCCACCCUCCCUUGCCCACCUCUUCUCCGGUUUUGUGCCUCUUGGUGGCUGGACGCAAGCUGAGACUCGGAGGAUUUGAAGAGGUGACUUGCACCGCUACAGAAAGGCACAAAUGUGGGGGUGGGGGAAACUGAGGCCAGGCCCCUCCUCUCCCACCGAACUGCUCGUCAGACUACGAAGCCUUGGUCUCCAUUUUCUGAGAGAGAGAGAGAGAGAGAGAGAGAGAGAGAGAGAGAGAGAGAGAGAGAGAGAGAGAAUGAAUAGGGUUUUCAUCACUCGAACCAUCCAUCCCAUAACCUACCCAGGUGAGGGAGGAAUCAAGGGCCUCGAUGGGGAGGGGCCCGGGGCGCCCCUAGCAACGCCCUUCUUCUCUGGGCUCCUUUCACUGUCUAAGUUACGGUCUCCCACCCUGAGCCACGCUCCAAGCCCUUUCUUCUUCCCCUCUGACGCUCCAGUCCCCUUCAGGAGCUUCCUUCUACCUCCUUUGCCCCAGGGAUGUGGGAGGAAGGGGCUGCUUCCUGCCUCUGUAAUAUUCCCCGCUGGCCAGGAAUAAAAUCCCCUCGGCAGACAGUCCUCUCGGCUGCUGACAGCCUCCCUUCCUCCUGCCAGUGGGUCCCGACCGCCCACCGACUGCCGGGAGCUCCUGCUUCUAGUCCCAGACAGAACUGAGCUCCACCCACGAGUACCGGAAGGGGUUGAGGGCUCCAGGGAGGGCCUGGGCUAGGACUGAAACAGCCUGUCUCCGCCCUGCCAUCUCUUUGAGAGCGAUAAGGGCUAACGCCCUGGCCCCAGGAGCUCGGAGAGGGAGGGAAACCAGCCUGGGGAACUUCAGAAGAGCAGGGGGUCUUUGGGAGCCCCCGGGCCCCUGCUGAGGACUGCUGAGCAGUUCUGAGGGCUGGGGAGAGUAAGGAGGUCACCAGACACCCAGGCCCUAAGAGUAAUAAGCUGAGCAGACCUGAGGUGGCAGGUGGUUUGGGGAGUGGGGACACGUGAGAGAGAGGUUAUUGCUCAACCAAGGACGUGCAGGCAGCCAGGGAC
Long non-coding RNA from Heterocephalus glaber (naked mole-rat), 1758 nucleotides. The record is from Ensembl. Lineage: Eukaryota; Metazoa; Chordata; Mammalia; Rodentia; Bathyergidae.